Molecule: non-coding RNA, 73 nt
Organism: Bos taurus (domestic cattle)
Lineage: Eukaryota; Metazoa; Chordata; Mammalia; Artiodactyla; Bovidae
Source: Rfam
UCCCUGGUGGUCCAGUGGCCAAGACACCACAUUCCCAAUGUAGUGGGCCCAGGUUCGAUCCCUGGUUGGGGAA